RNAcentral lists this ribosomal RNA (1255 nucleotides) under uncultured bacterium. Its description in RNAcentral is "bacterial SSU rRNA". It matches the Rfam family "Bacterial small subunit ribosomal RNA", at positions 26 to 1305 of the family's 1533-position model. The record is from RNAcentral.
GGAUGAACUGCUGGCGGCGUGCCUAACACAUGCAAGUCGAACGGGAGCUGAGAGCUUGCUUUCAGCGAGAGUGGCGAAUGGGUGCGUAACACGUAGGUGACCUGCCCUCAAGCGGGGGAUAACGGUCCGAAAGGAUCGCUAAUACCGUAUGUGGUUGUAGCAUCGGAGCUACAACUAAACUUCCCUUCGGGGUUGGGCUUGAGGAGGGGCCUGCGGCCCAUCAGCUCGUUGGUGAGGUAACGGCUCACCAAGGCGACGACGGGUAGGGGGCCUGAGAGGGUGACCCCCCACACUGGCACUGACACACGGGCCAGACUCCUACGGGAGGCAGCAGUGAGGAAUAUUGCACAAUGGGCGCAAGCCUGAUGCAGCAACGCCGCGUGAGCGAUGAAGGCCUUCGGGUCGUAAAGCUCUUUUCCCAAGGAAGAGUGAGGACGGUACUUGGGGAAUCAGUCACGGCUAACUACGUGCCAGCAGCCGCGGUAAAACGUAGGUGGCGAGCGUUAUCCGGAUUCACUGGGCGUAAAGCGCACGCAGGCGGCCUGGUGGGUAGGGCAUGAAAUCUCCCGGCUUAACUGGGAGGGGUUGUCCUAUACCGCCGGGCUUGAGGCUGGGAGAGGGAAGUGGAAUUGCCGGUGUAGUGGUGAAAUGCGUAGAGAUCGGCAGGAACACCAGUGGCGAAAGCGGCUUCCUGGCCCAGACCUGACGCUCAAGUGCGAAAGCUAGGGGAGCGAACGGGAUUAGAAACCCCGGUAGUCCUAGCCGUAAACGAUGCACACUAGGUGUCGGGGGUAUUGACCCCCUCGGUGCCGCAGCUAACGCGUUAAGUGUGCCGCCUGGGGACUACGGUCGCAAGGUUAAAACUCAAAGGAAUUGACGGGGGCCCGCACAAGCAGCGGAGCGUGUGGUUUAAUUCGAUGAUACACGAAGAACCUUACCAGGGUUUGACAUGCACGUUGUAGUGAAGCGAAAGCAGAACGACCCUUCGGGGAGCGUGCACAGGUGCUGCAUGGCUGUCGUCAGCUCGUGCCGUGAGGUGUUAGGUUAAGUCCUAUAACGAGCGCAGCCCUUACUGCCAGUUAUACGUGUCUGGCGGGACUGCCGGUCAUAAGCCGGAGGAAGGUGGGGAUGACGUCAAGUCAGCAUGGCCUUUAUAUCCUGGGCUACACACACGCUACAAUGGGGGGUACAGAGGGCUGCCAAGCCGCGAGGCGGAGCCAAUCCCACAAAACCCUCCUCAGUUCGGAUUGUAGGC